This 4735-nucleotide small RNA is filed under the name Rattus norvegicus (Norway rat). Its description in RNAcentral is "uncharacterized LOC102546689". Lineage: Eukaryota; Metazoa; Chordata; Mammalia; Rodentia; Muridae. The record is from RNAcentral.
CUAAAAUCUAUCUCUGAUUCAUCACUUUGUCUGCCCUUCUAUCAGAUAUUAUUGUUUGGGAUUAAAGAUGUGAAACAAAGGAUUCCAACCAGAUGGUUGAAAGGUGUGUACUAAGGGUGUGUCUGCAUAUCAGCUGGAUAGCACAGACAUCCAAGAUAUUUUCGUGUCAAGUUUCCUCUGAGCUACCAGAGGGAACACUUGCUGGUCUGUCUUCCUAUACUAAACAUUACCAUCUACCAUCUAGCAAUAGGAUAGUCAAUGGAUGUUUGCUGAAUCAAGAGAAGGUUAUGGAUUUCUUUAUCUCAAAACAAAAAUGAGUCAUUUCCCUGACUGUCAGAAGAUGGUCUCUCGAGACAAUAUGUCAUAAAAGGAGGCCAUAGAUUCAAUCUGCGCAGAGUUCUGAGUGUCGCCUCAGAUACGAAGACUUGUCAUCCGUCUUUAUCAGGUUAUUCCUGAUUACCUAUGUGCCAAGAUAAUAUAUGAAAAUUGAAGAAAGCACAAGUGGGAAAUGGAGAAUAUGAAGGCUUUAUGUGCAAAAGUUUGACAAGAAUCAACAUAUAACUUAGUAGAACAUUUUGUGAUUCUUCUAGUCUACUGGAGGAAGAAGCUACUGUGAGAAGCUAUUAUCAUCACCCAUCAUGUCCAUGUGUGCUUGAAGGCCAUUAUACUUCAAAACAUACUAAGCUAUGUUGAUAGAUGAAACUCUACAUCCUGUUCUAAAAAUAGGUCUGCCAUCUAUGAAUCUGCUGAUAUACAUUCUUAAACUUAGUUUCUUAACAGCUGAUAUCCUUCAUAUUGUCUGGCAUUCACAUUCAAUUUCUCCUCUCAAUAUUAUGUUUUGUAAAUGGAACAAGAACUGCUGGGAACCAGUUUGUUUAUUUGGUUUGGAUUGUUUUUGGUUUGUUUUCUUUCCUUUCAGUAUGUUUAAAAUUUGAUUGUAAUAUUAAUGUGUAUCUACUUAGACUUUGAACUAACCUUAACAUCUAUGAGGCUUUGGUCUUACAUCUGCAUAACUGAUGGUGUGUAGGUAAAAAACUUGAAGAUUGAAAGACCUCAAAAUUAAAUAAAAAUAUCCUCAAAACAUCUAUCACUGUAAUUAUCUUUCUAGAUUAAGAAAAGAAAGAAAUUAGUGCUAAAUUUCAAUUAUACAAGGCAGUCUUGAAUACAGACAUAACUCCUGCUCAAAUAUAAAGAUAUCUUUUAGUUUAUGCUAACAAUUUUAUUUAACUUUCAUUGCAUGUACAAUAUUGUAGUUUCUUCUGGCAACAGACACAUCUCCAAUGAGACUUACUCUUUGACUGGGCAGGGAAAUCAAGUAAAUAAAUUUGAUAUAACUUAAAGGAAGAUCAAGGUUAUGAUAAGAACUUUACUGGCUCAAUGAAACAAUAUAAAUGACUGGUAUUAGAGUAGGAAUUUUAAAAAGGCUAGAGAGUUUUCCAUUUUUACAGGAUCAGGUUAACUCAUGUACAUUUCCCCUUACAUUUGACAUUAAUACUAUUCUUUAUAAAAUGUUUUAGAAGCAUAUAUUAGUUUCUCCAUCUCUACAGAUACUGAUUAGAAAGGAAUAAACACUUUUACAGAAUAAGGAACCAAUCUAGAAUCUCAUGAAGAGAAAACAACUGACUUUUUGUUCAGAGUGUGAAUCAAAUUUUAGAGAGAGCCAGAUUAGAACCCUGUCAAACUAAUUAUAUUUUGAAUGAAGCAAUAAGAGAAAUACAUUCUUAAAUCAGGACAUAAUUAUAAGAAUUUAACACUUUAAAGCUAAAAAUUAAAAUGGACUCUUGGAAAUACCAUCUGAUAUUAUAAGUUAUAUUUAAUAACCAUGUUGACAGUUAUUAAAAUGUUUUAAUAAUUUUAAUUUUAAUAAUCAUUUUGUGAUGUUGGAAAUCCAACCCUUGACUUUGUAUGUGCUCAAGGAGGGCUCUACCAUUCAGCUGAAAAUCUUCUCCAAUUGGUGUGACAUGAUUAUAAUAGGUUGAAGAGAGUAUUCAUAUGUAUUAGGUUUAAAAAUUUUACUGCCUAUAUCCUGGGUUGUUGUUUAUUGGUUGAGUACUAGUCUAGGUCAGAUCAGUUCUGACAAUUGAAAAAAAAAUCAAACAUAAUAAAAAUACAUUUAUUCUAGUGAUAAAAACAAUUGGUAGAAAUGAACAGGUAUAUAAACUGGGUUGAACAUUCUUCUUAAAAAUGGUUUCCCUCUUUGAUAGUUUUGACUCAGCUUUCUCUGUUUUGCUUUACUAUUUUCCAUUUUGACUUCAAUUUUCCAAAACAGAAUCAAUUUUGUCUCCUGUUUUGGCUUUUUUUAUUGGAUCUCUUACUGGCUUUCAUUUGGAGGUUAACUAUGUCAACAAAAAGUUUGCAUUCAGUGAGUUAUAUCUAAGGGGAUGACUAACACAUACUAUUAAAACAUAAGGGUACAUUGUAAACACAGAUAAGAUUAAGGUAUUUGUAUGGGGCAAGAGCCUGGGAAUAUUUUAUUAAAUCAAAUACAUUUGCAGAAACAGUGCAGAUAGUUUUUCAACUCAAAAUAGGGUAAGAACAAGAGAAAUUGCAUAACUCCUUGGAGAAUGAGACUUUAUUGAGAAAAUUAUUACAUGCAUUCAGUAUGCAAUGAAAGUUCUUUUGGACUGGAUGGAUUCAGGUUCUCUCUAUCCAUGGUAAUCAGAGGAUAUGGGAAAAUGGAUUUACAUCUCAAACUAGUAAUUCAAAGCAACUUGAAAAAAAAUCAAUAAGAGAAAUAGAGGUGCAGAAAAUAUGUUAGAGUCUUUUAUGAGACCAGGAGUGAAUGAGGCUUGAGUACACAGUCUAUCAGUUCAGAAUCACAAACUUGAAUCUUCAAGAAAUCAUUGUGUAAUCUUAGAAGUCUUAUAAAAUAAUAUGUUUCUCUGUCAGACUACAUUUUUCCUGGUUUAUUCAACCAUUUUUCAAAUACUCUGUUUCAUAAGCCAGAUCCUUUCUAGGUCCUUGCAAAGGUUGAUUCUAAAGUAUUUCCAUCUUCUGUAGCUCUAUUUUGCUUUAUUAAAUGUAGCUUUAAUGUGAUAAAGGCAAUAUACUUGAAUGUUUUAAAUGUGCUCUUCCUAUUUUCUAUUCCCCAAAUGCUUAUCUUUGAAGCUAGUAGUACAUUGUUUGACACAGGCACUGAAAUGUUUUCCCUGUCCCUGAUUCCAGAUGGCAUAAACAGCUUUCUGUCUCCAAUUGGAAAAUGUCACACUCUACACUCGGGACAACUUUCCACUUAAAAAAUAAUCCCAUUGGCAAAUUAUUUGGAAUUUAGAUAACUGAUUAAAUUAAUUAGGCUUUUAAUCUAUAUUGUUUUAUGUGAAGCAUUCUGUGUGCUCUGUUUUCAAAUAUGGAUAUUUAAAAGUAAAAUAUUGUUGCUUUUCUCAUAAAAUAGCCAUUAAUAUUUCAGACACAACUAAUUAGUUAAUGAAGUACCAUGUUCUGAAAGCCAGAUUUAUGACAAUUUACAUUGUUAUUGGUUAAGUUUGUCAUGUAUUUGUUAUUCUCUGUAAGCCCACUAUUUGGACCUUAGGCCAAAUAUGACCAUUUUCAAUGUAUUUUAAAGAGUUUUUUGAAAUUGUAUGUGAUUAAUUCAUAAUAAUUAUAUAUAAAUCAAAAUGCCACCACACAUGAGUUCACAUACAUCCAAAGAUUAGAGAUUUAGAUUACUUCUAUGUCUCUUGAGGUGCAUAUGUGUUUAGAAAAUAGUUUUAAAAAAUUGCUAAUAAUUCCAAUGGGUGAUUUAGACAUCUGGUAAACCUCAGCACAGGUUUUGAAAUGUUCCUCCCAACAUCUGUGAUACUUUGCUCUAAUUAUGUCAAAGCAGCACAGAAAUAGAUGAAAAUGAAUGCCUCCUGGGAAUUAAGGUCAUGAGGGAAAACAUUAUAAGGUGUUGGGGACUUUUUUUUUAAUUAAAAGUAUUUGAUUACUUUCACAACAUUUGCUCUCUUGGCAGGCAGCCUUUCCUAAGCAGAUAUAUAUUAGAAAGACAGUUUUAUAAAGUGAUGCUGAAAGGAAUUAAUGGCAAUUGUGCACAAAUCUGAGAUUCCCCUUAAUGAUCCAGUGUUAUUUCUUUGAUACCCUACACUGAAUAGAAGUGGGUCAAACAUGGAAAUUUCAAAGAAAACGUUUUGCAGGGUCAGGUCUUUCACCACACAAAGGGAGGAUUUAAAUGUUCUGAUUUCCAUUGAUUACAGUAUGAUUGACUUAAAACCUAGUGUUCUCUAGCAUGAUUGUCAACUUUUAGUAACAUUAGAACGGAUUGGAGCUAAUGGUAUGAAUGCGAGAAUUUACACUGAUUGAAUCUGGGAAAACUAUGGUUAUGGUGAUAUCAUCAAGUUUUGAUGUCUAUGUAUUAUUUUUAUUUAAUAAAGAUACAUUAGCAACUUUUAAGCUUUGUGAUAAUACAGAGAAAGGGCAAUAUAAUGGCUAAUAAUCUCAGAGGUUUUAGCCUACGGUUGCCUAACUCCAUUGUUUCUGAGAUCUUGAAGAAGCAAAACCUCAUGAUAUUCCAGUGGGGCAGAGUAAAGCUGCUCAGGUACAGGUAUCAGAAAGUGAGUAAGCAAGCAUGAUUCAGUAUCCUAUCAAGGGUACAACCCAUUGACUCACUGUGCCCAUGCAGAUUUCAUCAUCUCUUAAUCAUACAAUAAAACUACAUAUCCACCUAUCACUUACAUUUUUGAUCAGAUUAGCUUCCUUAUUUUCUAAUUAUUUCCUCAGGCAUAAACAUGAGAUUUCG